This 90-nucleotide transfer RNA is filed under the name Betaproteobacteria bacterium. RNAcentral's name for it is "tRNA-Ser". It matches the Rfam family "tRNA". From Rfam's summary of the family: Transfer RNA (tRNA) molecules are approximately 80 nucleotides in length. The record is from RNAcentral. Lineage: Bacteria; Pseudomonadati; Pseudomonadota; Betaproteobacteria.
GGAGAGAUGGCCGAGCGGUCGAAGGCGCACGCCUGGAGAGCGUGUAUACGUGAAAACGUAUCGUGGGUUCGAAUCCCACUCUCUCCGCCA